GAUGAUGGUUGGAUUGACUCUCCGGACUUGGCCAAAUUUGAAGCUAUGUUUACGUGUGACAAUCGGGCGACAAGUUGGAAAUCAAAAGAAUCUCCACCGCCACCGAAAAGUUGGCCCGAAAUUUAUUCAUCUGGCCUGACAACUUUCUGGCAUUGGAAAGAAUCCAAUGCGGUUGGUAAAACUUAUUAGGCGCAGUCAAGCAUGGCCUGCAAAUUGGUACACCUUGACGCUUCACUGGCUCCGCAGAUUCGAGGAUACGAGGAUUCCGCCAAAGCUUUAAGGCCAAGACAAAAGGCGGCCAAAAGGACAGCCAGCGGCGGGUUGAGAUACUUGGGCAGAUACAGAUACUUAGCGGCGAUAAAGACAAACGCUUGAUUAUGAGAAGUCAACCCAUGGCUGCGGAAUUUAUUUGUGUUGUAUAUUUAUUUAUGAGCUUGUCCCUCUCGCCGAGCAGAAACAAAAGAAGCCAGUGCCCAGAACUCGCAACCCAAAUCCCCGGCAGAAUCACUCAAGUGCGAACGGAAACGGGCGCCCAGAACUUCAGAACUUGGUCCUGCCAUCGGGCAGGAAAUCAGCGAUUAAGCAACCAACUAACCAGUAACCAGUGAGUCAGUCACCAGUUGUUACUUGGGGAGCACAGAAAGAAAUAUUGGAAAUAGAUUGACUUAGGAUGUGCAAGCUCUUCAAAUCCCUGCCCUCGGGGCCUCUUCGCGAAUGGAAGUGUGUAAUUUUUGGUAUUAAUUGCUCGGUCUCGCAAAACUUUCCGGCUUCCAGUUAGCCCCAUCAGUUGAAAUAAUAACAAUGCCAGAAGGAUCGAAAAUCGUGGCGGAGGAGGAGGAGCAACUGGACACGCCCACCGACAAUUGGCAGGGCGGCUAUUUCAAUCUCCUCCCCGGACUGAACCCCUCUGAAAAGAAAGAGGGAGGAGGGACCUUUAGGAGGUGGUUUCCGAAUGGAGGAUUUAACAUAUUGACUAUGACCUUUUGUUGGCUGUUUGCCGUUUGCUGUUUGUUGUUUGCUACGGCGGCAGUUCGAAAUUUAUGCUCACAUGGCGCCUUCGAUAAGAUCGAGAACUCCGUGCUGAAAGUAAAUUUCUUCCCCUCAGCCAUUCAAGUCCCCACUUCCCUUUCGGCACCAGCAAGAGCAAGGACAUGUCGCUGAAAGCAUUAUCAAAUAUUAUGCAUAUUUUGUGAGCUCCAAUAUACAA
Long non-coding RNA from Drosophila sechellia, 1207 nucleotides. RefSeq lists it as uncharacterized. The record is from RefSeq and is a predicted model, not a curated record. The transcript is spliced from 3 exons. Lineage: Eukaryota; Metazoa; Arthropoda; Insecta; Diptera; Drosophilidae.